AAGUCGUAACAAGGUUUCCGUAGGUGAACCUGCGGAAGGAUCAUUAACAAUGAGAAAUUGCUCGUGCCUAGGCAAAAUUGAGCCAGUGGCGAUAUUUUGUCUGGGGACUGCAAACUGCGAUACCGUGUCUCUUACUAAAUGUAUGAGGCCAUCAACAAGAACCUGGGGUACUCUGAAGUGGAGGCAACUCUGCUUUGGAGCCCUGCAAUAAUCCCUUUUUCUUACCAUUCUACCCUUAAAACUAUAAGACUGAUAUGACAUGAUUUAAUGUCAAUAUUAAAUCACAAAACAACUCUUAACAAUGGAUAUCUAGGUUCUG
This 319-nucleotide unclassified non-coding RNA is filed under the name fungal sp. Its description in RNAcentral is "partial internal transcribed spacer region". The stretch from base 1 to 46 matches the Rfam family "Eukaryotic small subunit ribosomal RNA", at positions 1786 to 1831 of the family's 1831-position model. The record is from RNAcentral. Lineage: Eukaryota; Fungi.